AUUGAACGCUGGCGGCAUGCCUUACACAUGCAAGUCGAACGGCAGCACGGGAGCAAUCCUGGUGGCGAGUGGCGAACGGGUGAGUAAUAUAUCGGAACGUGCCCAGUCGUGGGGAUAACGUAGCGAAAGCUACGCUAAUACCGCAUACGAUCUACGGAUGAAAGCGGGGGAUCGCAAGACCUCGCGCGAUUGGAGCGGCCGAUAUCAGAUUAGGUAGUUGGUGAGGUAAAGGCUCACCAAGCCGACGAUCUGUAGCUGGUCUGAGAGGACGACCAGCCACACUGGGACUGAGACACGGCCCAGACUCCUACGGGAGGCAGCAGUGGGGAAUUUUGGACAAUGGGCGCAAGCCUGAUCCAGCAAUGCCGCGUGCAGGAUGAAGGCCUCGGUUGUAAC
RNAcentral lists this ribosomal RNA (396 nucleotides) under uncultured bacterium. Its description in RNAcentral is "bacterial SSU rRNA". It matches the Rfam family "Bacterial small subunit ribosomal RNA", at positions 30 to 429 of the family's 1533-position model. The record is from RNAcentral.